UUAUACCCAGAGACAGACACAGCACACUGCUUUGUAAUAUGCAACUAGAGAUGCAUACCUAAACAUUCACAGCAAAACACUUGCAUCUUUUAGGUGGACGUUUAAUCAAAACAAAGACAAAUACUAUGUUUACAGUGUUUCAGAUGCUCUUCUGGGAAAACAUCUAUGUGGAAGCAGAAACGUUUUGCCCAGUCCUGAAGUCCGGAGGAAUGGGAAAUCUCCACUGAGGUUCUCUUAUAGGGUGAGUAAAAUUGUAUUGUUAAUAGCUUUUUAUGUUACUGUGAU
RNAcentral lists this long non-coding RNA (285 nucleotides) under Melopsittacus undulatus (budgerigar). Its description in RNAcentral is "lncRNA (ENSMUNG00000020372.1)". Lineage: Eukaryota; Metazoa; Chordata; Aves; Psittaciformes; Psittaculidae. The record is from RNAcentral.